Molecule: ribosomal RNA, 435 nt
Filed under: uncultured bacterium
Lineage: Bacteria
Description: bacterial SSU rRNA
Rfam family: Bacterial small subunit ribosomal RNA
Source: RNAcentral
GAUGAACGCUGGCGGCGUGCCUAACACAUGCAAGUCGAGCGAUUCUCUUCGGAGAAGAGCGGCGGACGGGUGAGUAACGCGUGGGUAACCUGCCCUGUACACACGGAUAACAUACCGAAAGGUAUGCUAAUACGAGAUAAUAUACUUUUAUCGCAUGGUAGAAGUAUCAAAGCUUUUGCGGUACAGGAUGGACCCGCGUCUGAUUAGCUAGUUGGUAAGGUAACGGCUUACCAAGGCGACGAUCAGUAGCCGACCUGAGAGGGUGAUCGGCCACAUUGGAACUGAGACACGGUCCAAACUCCUACGGGAGGCAGCAGUGGGGAAUAUUGCACAAUGGGCGAAAGCCUGAUGCAGCAACGCCGCGUGAGCGAUGAAGGCCUUCGGGUCGUAAAGCUCUGUCCUCAAGGAAGAUAAUGACGGUACUUGAGGAGGAAG